AUUGCCUCAGUAACGGCGAGCGAAGCGGCAAAAGCUCAAAUUUGAAAUCUGGCGUCGUGUCGGCGUCCGAGUUGUAAUUUGAAGAUGGCAACUUUGGGAAUGGCUCUCGCAUAUGUUCCUUGGAACAGGACGUCAUAGAGGGUGAGAACCCCGUUCAUGGCGAGAUGACCCAGUCCUAUGUAAAGUGCUUUCUAAGAGUCGAGUUGUUUGGGAAUGCAGCUCUAAGUGGGUGGUAAAUUCCAUCUAAGGCUAAAUAUUGGCGAGAGACCGAUAGCGAACAAGUACAGUGAUGGAAAGAUGAAAAGAACUUUGAAAAGAGAGUGAAAAAGUACGUGAAAUUGUUGAAAGGGAAGGGCUUGAAGUCAGACAUGGUAUUCAGUGAUCAACUGUCUUUCGGGACUGUGCACUCGCUGUUUACUGGGCCAGCAUCGGUUUAGGCGGUGAGAUAAAUGCAAGAGAAUGUGGCUCCGCUUUCGGGUGGAGUGUUAUAGCUUUUGUUCAUAUCACCAGCUUGGACCGAGGACCGCGCUUCGGCUAGGAUGCUGGCGUAAUGACUUUAAGCCACCCGUCUUGAAACACGGACCAAGGAGUCUAACGUCUAUGCGAGUGUUUGGGUGU
This 618-nucleotide ribosomal RNA is filed under the name Blastobotrys mucifer. RNAcentral describes it as "LSU rRNA". It matches the Rfam family "Eukaryotic large subunit ribosomal RNA", at positions 74 to 701 of the family's 3401-position model. The record is from RNAcentral. Lineage: Eukaryota; Fungi; Ascomycota; Dipodascomycetes; Dipodascales; Trichomonascaceae.